UUGAUCCUGGCUCAGAAUCAACGCUGGCGGCGUGCCUAACACAUGCAAGUCGAACGCGAAAGCCUCUUCGGAGGUGAGUAGAGUGGCGUCCGGGUGAGUUACGCGUGGGUAAUCUACCCUUGGGUGGGGAAUAACCAGUCGAAAGAUUGUCUAAUACCGCAUAAUGCAGCGGCUCGACAUCGAGACAGUUGUUAAAGCAUUAAUGCGCCUAAGGAGGAGCCUGCGUCUGAUUAGCUUGUUGGUGAGGUAUUGGCUCACCAAGGCUGCGAUCAGUAGCUGGUCUGAGAGGACGGCCAGCCUCAAUGGCACUGAAACACGGGCCAUACUCCUACGGGAGGCAGCAGUGGGGUAUUUUGCGCAAUGGGCGAAAGCCUGACGCAGCAACGCCGCGUGAAGGAUUAAAUCCUUCGGGAUGUAAACUUCGCAAAUAUGGGAAGAACUCAAUGACGUUACCAUAUGUAAGCCCCGGCUAACUCCGUGCCAGCAGCCGCGGUAAUAAUGU
This 502-nucleotide ribosomal RNA is filed under the name uncultured Acidobacteriota bacterium. RNAcentral describes it as "bacterial SSU rRNA". It matches the Rfam family "Bacterial small subunit ribosomal RNA", at positions 13 to 528 of the family's 1533-position model. The record is from RNAcentral. Lineage: Bacteria; Pseudomonadati; Acidobacteriota.